Folsomia candida is the source of this 603-nucleotide long non-coding RNA. RefSeq lists it as uncharacterized. The transcript has 3 exons. The record is from RefSeq and is a predicted model, not a curated record. NCBI's taxonomy places the organism in Eukaryota, Metazoa, Arthropoda, Collembola, Entomobryomorpha, Isotomidae.
UAUUGUAGGGUAGGCUACUUUUAAUUUCAUACUUACGGUAUUGCCAUCAUUUGUCCUUGUCCAAGCGACUUAUGCUCCUCAAAUUAAAAUAAGACCUUCGAAUUACAAACUCUCCUCAGUACGUACGCAAUACAGAAAAUUUCGUGUGAAUAAAUCUCCAUUAAAACUGAUCCAUUAUUCCCGACAAAUAAUGUGGGCGAAAGGGUUCCUAAUUUUGUUCCUGGUGGGGAUGACUGUUUUUCUUCAGUGUGGCCAAUGUCAAGAAGAAGGACAACAAUGCCUGUACAAUAAUGGAGCGAGGAUGUCCUGGUCUGUGUGCAGGGCGCAAUGUAACCUGAUCCCUUCCCUGGUGGGCACAUGCACGGACGGGAUGACGUGUUGUUUCCUAGGAAGAAAAGGGGAUCCAGCUUUAACAAAAUAAUGUCUAUGAACAAUCUGAAGUUGUAUCAAUUUACGUGGAACAUAUUUCUAUGUAACAAUAUUUUUCCAUUUUUUGUAUAACAUUUUUGUCAUGUUUCACAAAGGAAUUAACAAAAAUGGGGGAUAUUCAUUAGGAGUUCUCAUGUUUAUGUAUAUUAAUAUUGUAACCUAAUUGUGAACAAA